Long non-coding RNA from Pongo pygmaeus (Bornean orangutan), 646 nucleotides. RefSeq lists it as uncharacterized. The record is from RefSeq and is a predicted model, not a curated record. NCBI's taxonomy places the organism in Eukaryota, Metazoa, Chordata, Mammalia, Primates, Hominidae. The transcript is spliced from 5 exons.
AGGGUCCCUCUGUGCUCAGACAGUGGCCCUUUGUGGAGUGGAGGAGCAGACUGAAAGCGGAGCCGCUGGAAACCGUUUCCUCCCCCCUGCCUCGAGCAACCUCCUCCCGCAGCCACGGACCAUCCUGUGCCUGGGUGGCCUCUGCUUUAAGUCUGCAGCUGGCGGGGGAGGAGACUGUGCAUAAUCAUGGAGGGCACUGGCAAGUCUGGUGGAGAGGGAGGAGGUCAGGAAAUAAACGAGAGAGGAAAAUUAAGAGAGUCGGUACCAGGCAGAUUUCUGGGUGAGGCCCAGAGGAGCAUUUUGAUUCAUCCAUCCAUUCAACAAGGGACUAUGUUUUAUCCAACUUGUAUCCUUAGAGUAUAACACAACAUCUGCACAUAAGACAGAAAGGCUGCAACCUCUUCACCUGGGAAAUGAAUGGUCCUGUGAUUUACAAGGGCAGUGGUAAAAGAACUCCCAGGAAGGUUUCCUCUUAACCAAUCUAAUUCUCUUCUGUCACAACAUCUGCUGAUUCUGUCCUCAACUGGAAGCAGAGAACUGAGCUCCUCCUUCUAUGCUUAGCUACAUAAAUCCUAUGUGAGUUCUAUACCUGUUCAAAAAAGGGUAUUUUGGUUCCUCCAUUUUUUUCCCCAAGAACAUUUGCCUA